AAGAUGCGGAAGGGGAGCGACUAGGCCGCUUGCGUCUGGGCCUGGCAGAAGGGACCGGGUGGGGAUUUUCUGGCAUCCUUAAAUCUUGUGUCAAGGAUUGGUUAUAAUAUAACCAGAAACCAUGACGGCGGCUGAGAACGUAUGCUACACGUUAAUUAACGUGCCAAUGGAUUCAGAACCACCAUCUGAAAUUAGCUUAAAAAAUGAUCUAGAUUCAUGGAGCCUGCAUUAACUCAAUUGGUUAGGAACCAGAAAUCUAAUCCAGUGCCUUCAUAUUAUAUAUAAAGAGUCUGAUUUCCAGAGAUAAAUGACUUGAGCAAAGACAGCUUAUUUGGUGGAGAACCAGGUGGAGAACCCUUGUCACUUGGAAAAAGGAGAUGUAAAGUCAAAGACUGAAGCUUUGAAGAAAGUAAUCAUUAUGAUUCUGAAUGGUGAAAAGCUUCCUGGACUUCUGAUGACCAUCAUUCGUUUUGUGCUACCUCUUCAGGAUCACACUAUCAAGAAAUUACUUCUGGUAUUUUGGGAAAUUGUUCCUAAAACAACUCUGG
This 548-nucleotide small RNA is filed under the name Pan troglodytes (chimpanzee). RNAcentral describes it as "processed transcript". The record is from RNAcentral. Lineage: Eukaryota; Metazoa; Chordata; Mammalia; Primates; Hominidae.